GACGAACGCUGGCGGCGUGCUUAACACAUGCAAGUCGAGCGGUAAGGCCCUUUCGGGGGUACACGAGCGGCGAACGGGCGAGUAACACGUGGGUGACCUGCCCUCAGCUCUGGGAUAAGCCCGGGAAACUGGGUCUAAUACUGGAUAUGACUCCACGGUGCAUGUCGUGGGGUGGAAAGCCUUGUGCGGCUGAGGAUGGGCCCGCGGCCUAUCAGCUUGUUGGUGGGGUGAUGGCCUACCAAGGCGACGACGGGUAGCCGGCCUGAGAGGGCGACCGGCCACACUGGGACUGAGACACGGCCCAGACUCCUACGGGAGGCAGCAGUGGGGAAUCUUGCGCAAUGGGCGAAAGCCUGACGCAGCGACGCCGCGUGAGGGAUGACGGCCUGGUGUAAC
This 396-nucleotide ribosomal RNA is filed under the name uncultured bacterium. Its description in RNAcentral is "bacterial SSU rRNA". It matches the Rfam family "Bacterial small subunit ribosomal RNA", at positions 28 to 429 of the family's 1533-position model. The record is from RNAcentral.